UACGUAGGUGGCGAGCGUUGUCCGGAUUUACUGGGCGUAAAGGGAGCGUAGGCGGACUUUUAAGUGAGAUGUGAAAUACUCGAGCUCAACUUGAGUGCUGCAUUUCAAACUGGGAGUCUAGAGUGCAGGAGAGGAGAAUGGAAUUCCUAGUGUAGCGGUGAAAUGCGUAGAGAUUAGGAAGAACACCAGUGGCGAAGGCGAUUCUCUGGACUGUAACUGACGCUGAGGCUCGAAAGCGUGGGGAGCAAACAGG
This 253-nucleotide ribosomal RNA is filed under the name uncultured bacterium. RNAcentral describes it as "partial 16S ribosomal RNA". It matches the Rfam family "Bacterial small subunit ribosomal RNA", at positions 524 to 776 of the family's 1533-position model. The record is from RNAcentral.